CGAAAAACCAAGAAUGCAAACUACUAUACAAAUGGUGCAAGUAGAGUGAUUGUGGUGUAGAAUAAGGGAAGCUAAAGUUAUCAGCAUAGGAUAAGAAAUUUAGUGGAACAGAGUCCAAGGAUGGUGGUUAAAUAGCAAUAACUACUACACAUGAAGUGGAAGUAGUACUCACACUACCUAGAUCGUGAGAAAAAUAGUAGCCCACCAUGCAUGUUCAUAGUAGCUCAUAUGACAUAGAAUAACAAGGAUAUGUAUCAGAACUAAGUAACACUCAUGUCAUCGCUACUUAGGAUGUGAGUGAAGUGGUAGCACUACCUACCAUGCAUGGCAAGAAUGACCAAUGUUGCAUAAAGUAGCAAGGAUAAGUAUCAAGGUUAAGUGAUGACACAUAUCCUAGCAAUUAAUAAGAGCCAUUUAAAAAUAUUGGAUUGUAAUGCUAAAAAACCUACUUCGUAGGGAUUAAUUGCGAUACUAAAAAGUCCUACGGGGUUAAAUGUGAUACUAUGGAUCUUGCCAAAAGGAUAUUAUGGUCAUAAUUAAAAGAUUGUUGAGUUAAACAUAACAUUUUCAAAUAGAACUCAUGAAUAUGAAAACGUAUAUCUAAGCAAUAUUCAAUGUUCUAGAUUGGUUUGCUGAAGUAGAAUGAUUUUAUUUAUAUGCUUAUUAUUAGACAGAAAACUUAUUUAAUUUAUUUUAUGAAUUAUCCGGUUAAAGAAGUUUUACCUACUGGAUAGUUAAGUUUAUUAUUUGGUCUCUUCUUUUCUUACACAUUCAGAGAAUUGGUCGUUGAUGAGGUGUUGCCAUCGAAAUGGGAUUAGAAGCGUGAGCAAAACAGAGUGACAUGGCUUAGAAUUAGAAUAUGUAUUCAUAAUUUAUUAUUGAAGAUAUUUUAUAGGUUUCUUAUUUUGAUGGAAGAUUCUUAUGAACAAAAAAAAUUCCUCCCAUAAAAAAAACAAAAAAAAAAUUCUGAAUAUUUCUUAGUAGCCAGAUAUAUUAUUUAUUAAAAUUUGAAUUUGAAUUAUUUUUAUUUUAUUUUAUUACAUUAUUUAUGAAAUCAUGUUGAAAGUCUUGUAUGCUUCAGUUGAGUAUGCAGCGGUCAUUACAUUUGUCUCGUGAUUUCGGAUUCAGAACAUGACACCACCAACCAUUAAUAUUAUAUUUUAAAAUAGUUUUAGUAGUAUAGGUCAUAAUCAAUAGUGUAGUUGUUUAAAUUGGAUUUGAGAGGAGCAGUGUGUGUGCAUGUUUUAAAUGCCAUUGUAGUAAGGCAGUCGAA
Molecule: long non-coding RNA, 1273 nt
Filed under: Phoenix dactylifera (date palm)
Lineage: Eukaryota; Viridiplantae; Streptophyta; Magnoliopsida; Arecales; Arecaceae
Description: long non-coding RNA (PDAC_LNC015198)
Source: RNAcentral